Molecule: long non-coding RNA, 708 nt
Filed under: Capra hircus (goat)
Lineage: Eukaryota; Metazoa; Chordata; Mammalia; Artiodactyla; Bovidae
Description: lncRNA (ENSCHIG00000000972.1)
Source: RNAcentral
AAUGGCAGCCCACUCCAGUACUCUUGCCUGGAGAAUCCCAUGGAUGGAGGAGCCUGGUGGGCUGCAGUCCAUGGGGUCACGAAGAGUCAGACAUGACUGAGUGACUUCACUUUGACUAUUCACUCUCAUGCAUUGGAGAAGGAAAUGGCAACCCACUCCAGUAUUGUAGCUUCUUACUUUUCUUUGAUAAGUUCCUUUGAGGUCACUUGCUUAGAUGCUCCAGAAAUUAAGGCUAUAAAUAACAAUCACUGCAGAAGAGAGGAAUGCUGGGCUUCAAGCCUUGGAAAUGUUGCCACCAAGUCACCAAGUCCUUCACCUCAGCCUCUCUGGUCAGUAACCAGCAGACACUGGCAGCAUGCAGAAAUCUCAUCCCUUAUCCACUAUCAUGUUGUGACUAUUAAAGAGCUUGGCUGCAGAGUGAAUCAUCAAUCUAUUGAUUUUAGAAGUAUCUUUCUGCUCUGUGGGAAGAAAAAAGAGACACCAGUAUUAAGUGAAAACCUGAAGGUCAAUACAGAUAUGAAGAAUUACCAUCAAGAAGAUGUUGCUUUCCUAAAAAGAUGAAAUUCUAAAUUCUAUACUCCCCUCCCCAAAUAGUAUAAGAAAAUUCUAAGGAAAAAUGCAACUUGGUAUACUAAAAACAAAUAAAGAAGAAAGCAUACAAACCAAUGGAGCUAAUAUGCAAAUAAAAACUUGUGUUCAAAUUCUAUA